AAGAGACAGUGGGGAUAUUGGACAUGGGCGAAGCCUGAUCCAGCAAUGCCGCGUGAGUGAUGAAGGCCUUCGGGUCGUAAGCUCUUUUACCAGGGAUGAUAAUGACAGUACCUGGAGAAUAAGCUCCGGCUAACUCCGUGCCAGCAGCCGCGGUAAU
This 157-nucleotide ribosomal RNA is filed under the name uncultured freshwater bacterium. RNAcentral's name for it is "partial 16S ribosomal RNA". It matches the Rfam family "Bacterial small subunit ribosomal RNA", at positions 346 to 524 of the family's 1533-position model. The record is from RNAcentral.